UGGGGAAUAUUGGACAAUGGGCGAAAGCCUGAUCCAGCCAUGCCGCGUGUGUGAAGAAGGUCUUCGGAUCGUAAAGCACUUUAAGGUGGGAGGAAGGGCAGUAAGCGAAUACCUUGCUGUUUUGACGUUACCGACAGAAUAAGCACCGGCUAACUCUGUGCCAGCAGCCGCGGUAAUACAGAGGGUGCAAGCGUUAAUCGGAAUUACUGGGCGUAAAGCGCGCGUAGGUGGUUCGUUAAGUUGAAUGUGAAAGCCCCGGGCUCAACCUUGGACCUGCAUCCAAAACUGGCGAGCUAGAGUAGGGCAGAGGGUGGUGGAAUUUCCUGUGUAGCGGUGAAAUGCGUAGAUAUAGGAAGGAAAACCAGUGGCGAAGGCGACCACCUGGGCUCAUACUGACACUGAGGUGCGAAAGCGUGGGGAGCAAACAGG
Molecule: ribosomal RNA, 429 nt
Filed under: Pseudomonadota bacterium
Lineage: Bacteria; Pseudomonadati; Pseudomonadota
Description: Proteobacteria bacterium partial 16S ribosomal RNA
Rfam family: Bacterial small subunit ribosomal RNA
Source: RNAcentral